This 2836-nucleotide long non-coding RNA is filed under the name Vigna radiata. RNAcentral's name for it is "long non-coding RNA (VRAD_LNC016811)". The record is from RNAcentral. Lineage: Eukaryota; Viridiplantae; Streptophyta; Magnoliopsida; Fabales; Fabaceae.
CCCACAACUCAUUCAAUGUAGGCUUAAAAGAAGUACAAGAUUUGGCAGCUGCAUCUUGCUGUUGUUCUUGCCUCUGAUUUUUCUACUGUGGCUGCCUGUUAUUGUAGAUGUUUGGAACACAAGCUUGAGGCUCAUGAAACUACAACUGUUGUGGUUCCCGGACCGGUGGAGGCAUACAAGGAGUUUGAAAUGAUGGUUCCUGAUAUUGAUGCUGUGAAGUACCAUACCAUCCCAAGUUAGGAUCAUUCCACCCAGGAUCGUCGCUAUAACCAUACCGCACAGGGAAGAAUUUGUCUAGAAACUGAUGCUUCAGAUCUUCCCAACUGGUGACGGAUCCUAAAGGAAGACAAUACUAUCAAUCCUAUGCUGCUCCAUGUAAUGAGUUCCCAAAUGCCCUUAAGAACAUUUCUUCAUCCAGGACAUCUUGAGGUUUCAUUAAAGAGCAUAAUGUGUAGAAUUGCUCUAAAUGUCUAUGUGGGCAUUCAACUGCAAAACCAUGAAACCUAGGCAGCAAAUGUAUCAGUCCAGUGUUGAAAACACAAUGAAUGUCCUCCUCAUCAAGUGGAAACGGCUCCCUAGGAGCACUCUCAUGAGAUGGAAGAGGAACCUUAUUGUUCUCAACAUAGAAAUCAACAACAGAAUCAUAAUCAUAGGCACAGGCAGAAGAAACAAUAUCCACAUAACCAAAAUAGGUAGGCAUGGGAAAGAAGGGGGAAAAGAAGAAUGCAAUGAAAAUAUACAACUAAAGCUACACAAAUGCAACACACAUUAACGAACACACAAAACAAAACAUCACACUCACAACACAAGACAAAACACAACACACAUUAACACAACAAAAGACCUACAAUCGAACCGUUUGUCCCCGGGAACGGUGCCAAAAUUUUGAUGGGUGUCACACCCCAUGCAAAAUUUAAUGUGCAUAAAAGAAUGCAGUAUAGACUAGGAAGUGACUCCUAAGUCGUCUCAAUAGGACCAAAUGUGGUUCGAGAAUUAGGUCAGACACGCNGNGGGGGGGGGGGGUUGUGUGAAAGGUGUGUGAAUGCAAAUGAACUAAAUUAAAACACGGAUGCAAACAGAAGUGCAAAACGGAAUCAAAUACAGAAUAAAAAAGGUUGGUCAUUAACUCAAUUACCAUGCUUCCAAUCACCGAUUAAUACAACAAAGAGACUACUCUGACCUCUAAUCCAGCACAGCUAACCGACAAAGCUAGGGUCAAUUGUGCUAUCAUAAUCAGGAACAAAGCGAACACAAUACACCUAUUCCAUCCAAUGUGUUCUAUAAAGAUUGAUCAACUAAGCAAAGAUGCAAUCACCAUUGGAUUACUAAGUGUAUACCCAUUGCAAGAACACAGUCAGAUUUCACAGAAUGUCAGGCAAAGCAAAAUAAACACAAGAACAGUUCAAUAAAUCUCAAGGAAGCAAUGCAAUAUCGCUAAUGACCAACCCGACUAGUCUAAGCUAACAUCACAACUAAAUUAACACAAUCAGACAGAAUAGACAACAUUAAAGCAAGAGAAAACAUUAAAUUGAACACUACAGCAGAUAAAUCUCCAAACAUAAUUAAAACUAUUAAAAUGCAAUAAUAAAUUAAGCAAAUGAAAACAACUCAAAAUGUAAUUUAAAAUAUUUUAAAGCAAAGAAAAAUAAGAAGACAUAAAUUUAUCUAACACCUCAUGUGACCACUUGUGCAUCUAUCAAAAGGAGUUGAAUUUUCAAAUGGCCUAAACAUCCUUUUGGUCGUGUCAAAUUUUAUUCCAAAUAAAACUAGUGCAUCAUUCUCCACUUAAAACAAAAUAAUGUGCUUAUUUAAAAGAAAGGAAAUCCCAAACAGUAUAUGCGGCAGCUUCCAUCAACAUCAUCGUUCCUCUCUUUUCUCCAAAGCAAGUAAAUGCAAGAAAAAAACAAAAUAAAGAAAAAGGUUGCAACGAUGCUCCACUCCACAAAGUGUCAGCCCCUAUUCUAAUCCAAGCCGAGACAUCACUUCCUCCAACUUUUUCUCCUAAUCAAUUGAUAGCACGUUCUUCUCCCAAAGUCACUCACUGUGUGGCUGGAAGCAUUUCCCAUUCUACCCAAAAUCCAGCACUGUUUAAAUGGUUACAAGCAAAGAAAGAAAACAUGUAAAAAUAUUCAAGGACCCAAAAAGAAAGAGGCGGCUAGAAGCAUUCUGAAAAUAAAAUGAAAAGAUUGUGCUCUUCAUUAAACAAAAUCAAAACAGCUUAUACGUUUGUCAAUUUCCCAAAAACUCAUGAGCAUACGUUCCCAGCUAAAAAAAAACAUUCCAAAAGAAAAACCGAAUGGUGUGUGUGUGUUGGCAACGUGAAAUGAAGAGAUAAAAGAUACUGGAAUGAAGCUUCAAUCACCGUGCAUUAGCUUUCUUUAACCCAUGGAAACCAUGAAUAUAUUCAAGAGCCCUUAGAAAACGUUCAAGCAGAGAAAAAAAAAACAAAAGUAAAGUGGCAGCCUCCCCACGGUAGGGCAUCGUUCUAGCACCUACAUCCCCAAAAAAAAAAAACAUUCCAGCACUUGUAAAAUUGAAAAAUUCGAGAAAAUAUGGUGCCCAUUUUUCAUUCAACCAUUUUCCAAGAGUGUCCACAUAGUUCCAAGAGUGUGACGGCUGCAGUUGUAAAAUGUCGUGUGUGUCUCCAAAAUGUGAGAGUGGGGUCCACCAAAAGAAACCCUAGGGUGCCAAGUGUCUAUUACAAUUUUGGGUCCCUCAUAUUUUUGCCAACAAUGGCCCAAUGUGCAAGUUUAAUUAAAAACUAUUUUAGACUACUAAGUUACAAUUAAAAUUUGAAAUGUCUAUGUGUAGAGUCUUUAAUUAAUUUGCCUCCUUC